AGCCUACGGGACGCAGCAGUGGGGAAUAUUGCACAAUGGGGGGAACCCUGAUGCAGCGACGCCGCGUGGGUGAAGGAGUAUUUCGGUAUGUAAAGCCCUAUCAGCAGGGAAGAACAAUGACGGUACCUGACUAAGAAGCACCGGCUAAAUACGUGCCAGCAGCCGCGGUAAUACGUAUGGUGCAAGCGUUAUCCGGAUUUACUGGGUGUAAAGGGAGCGCAGGCGGCGCGUUAAGCCGGCGGUGAAAUCGCGGGGCUCCACCCCGCCGAGCCGUCGGAACUGGGGGCCUUGAG
RNAcentral lists this ribosomal RNA (293 nucleotides) under uncultured bacterium. Its description in RNAcentral is "partial 16S ribosomal RNA". It matches the Rfam family "Bacterial small subunit ribosomal RNA", at positions 335 to 646 of the family's 1533-position model. The record is from RNAcentral.